Molecule: ribosomal RNA, 484 nt
Filed under: uncultured bacterium
Lineage: Bacteria
Description: partial 16S ribosomal RNA
Rfam family: Bacterial small subunit ribosomal RNA
Source: RNAcentral
AUUGAACGCUGGCGGCAGGCCUAACACAUGCAAGUCGAGCGGAUGAAGGGAGCUUGCUCCUGGAUUCAGCGGCGGACGGGUGAGUAAUGCCUAGGAAUCUGCCUGGUAGUGGGGGAUAACGUCCGGAAACGGGCGCUAAUACCGCAUACGUCCUGAGGGAGAAAGUGGGGGAUCUUCGGACCUCACGCUAUCAUAUGAGCCUAGGUCGGAUUAGCUAGUUGGUGGGGUAAAGGCCUACCAAGGCGACGAUCCGUAACUGGUCUGAGAGGAUGAUCAGUCACACUUGAACUGUGACACAUUCCUGGUUCCUACGGGAGGCAGCAGUGUGGAAUUUUGGACUAUGGGCGAAAGCCUAAUCCAGCCAUUCCGCGUGUGAGAAGAAGGUGUUGCGAUUGUAAAGCUCUUUAAGUUGCGAGGAAUGGCAGUAAGUUAAUGCCUUGCUGUUUUGACGUUACCAUCAGAAUAAGCCCCGGCUAACUUCGUG